GAUAAAUGUACCCCAAUAUCUUACUCGAAACGGACAAAAUUGUGAAUUAUACUAUAUUGCACUUGUGCUUUAGGCUGGUGCUGCGUAGGGUUAUAUUCCUGUGAACACGCCACUGUCAGAAUUAAUUGAAAAGUAGUGUGAAUGUGUUGUUUUGAAUACUUGUACUGACUGAAUGACCUCUUUGAUCAAGAAUUCAUUUCAGUCAAAAUGAUUGCUUAGCGUUGAUUAAAGCAAUAAUAUGUAAAAGGAAACUGCAUAUUUUCUUUCUUUGAAUUGGCUCGUUGUAUGUGUCAACACAAACAACCACAGGAUGACGCUAGAGUCAACUGGAAAGCUAAUUUUCCAGUCGACUAAAACUUAUUUAUUUUAAGGUAAAUGAAGAUGCUUCUCAAUUUCACAUAUAUUUGGAGAAUAUUCGUACGGUGCGCAUUUGAUAAAAUACAAGGUGUGUCACAAAAGUUCCCGAACUGAUGUCACAGAAGAUAGACAUUUCAAACACAAAUUACUGUACAAGCUUGCCUCUACACUGUGGGCCAGCACGUCCAGGAACAGAUCCAUCUGACACUUCCCGGCUGGGAAGAACAUCUCUGUGCUGGAACAUCCUCCCUACUCACCAGUCCUUGUUUUGUGUGAUUUUUUUUUCACCCUCUUUACUCAAUCCGAAGGGGUCUUCAGAAAAAACCCAUUAUGAAGACGUGGACAACAUCAAGAUGGCCGUGAGAAUGGACCUGUGGAGGAUCUCGGAAAAAUAAUUUCAGGAGGGGAUAAAAGCAUGACAGAGAAGGCUUGGACAGUGUAUUAGAGGAUUUGAUGAACCAAGAUCCCAACAAGAAUGACUUUUGCUGUUGUACUGUUACAACUCACACUGUUGCUGUUGAACCACAAAACGGGAUUAUUACACUUUCAGGGUAACUUGUUUGAAAGUAAUAAUAAUAAAAGCAAUUGUAAUUGAGUGUAACAAAUAUUUCAAAGCUCUCGCUUCCAUUUUAUGGGGGUCAAACCCUCCACUGGACACAAUAUUACAAGAGAUAGGCUGCCCCGCAUGCUAUUUGUGAAGUGUGUAAAACUACCAUGACAUCAUUAUAAUUGUGCUUUGGUAGCCGUUGUGAAUAAAGAAAAUGCCUGCUUUUGUUCA
Hippocampus comes (tiger tail seahorse) is the source of this 1135-nucleotide long non-coding RNA. RefSeq lists it as uncharacterized. The record is from RefSeq and is a predicted model, not a curated record. Lineage: Eukaryota; Metazoa; Chordata; Actinopteri; Syngnathiformes; Syngnathidae. The transcript has 2 exons.